UUGGAUAUGGUCUUAGCCUCAACCACCUCAAACCCCACCAGAUCCCCACCUCCCUCUUCUUCAUUUUUCUGGUGAAACUUUAACGGAAUACAACCAGAUAGAAGCACAAAACAACCUCUUUCUUCUACACUAGAUCCACCCCAAAUCCGCCAGAACACCACCAAAACAGACCCACCACGAGCUCACAGCCACCCAUCACAACCCAUUUUCCCCUUCUUGCUCGCUACCCCCAGAUCAACGAACAGCAAAAAAAUAAAGUACCACUACAAACCAGUCCUCAAACAGCAACUCCACCACUCCAAAACAACCCAUUUUCCCCUUCUUGCUCGCUACCCCGAGACCAACCAACAACAAAAAAAUAAAGUACCACUACAAACCAGUCCUCAAACAACAGCUCCACCACUCCAAAACAACCAGAAAAUGCCAUUUUCGGCAAGGAGCACGAAGCUCGAACAACAACAACCAAGCACGACUCCAUCGUGAUUCCAACACCGGUGAAAUUUCCAGUGAGCCAUCAGACUAACCAGACCCACAUCGAAACCCAUUGCAAACAUCUGUUCAAACCAGAAAUACAACAACUCAAACUCCGGUAACCCCUCUUUCACUUCGUUUUUCUUUUCAAUUCCAGAUCUGGCCGGAGGGGUUCAAACUCCGGCCAGCUCUAUCUUUAUAUUUUUUUUUUCUCAAGUUCAUAUGCUUUUUAUUGUUGAUUCUUUCAAGUUUUGGGACUGAUUUCUCUUUUUUCAGUGAGUUUUGUUUAUAGUUUGGUAUAUAGCCUUUUGUUAUUGUUUGCUUCGUCUCUAUUUGAUAUUGUUGUUCUUCAUGCACGUCUUCCCAGAUUGUGUUUUGCUUUACCAGGAUUAUAAUAUUGUGAUUUGUUUUAAUAUACUUUUUAAAAAUAAAAUAAAAUAAUGGAUAUCACUGUUUUUGUCUUUUUGUUAAUGAACCCUUUUAUAUUUGGUUUAGUUGGUUAAUUUUAUUCAUUGCACAUUGUUUACCUAUAGCUUUACAUAAAUCAUGUUACUAUUUAAUUGUUGUUGUUGUUAUUAUUAUUAUUGUUUUUUUAUUUAUUUAGUUAUGUUAUUAUAGUUUGAUAGUUACAUUGACGUGUGGUUAUUAUUAUUUAGUUAUUGUUUGGAUGUUUCGUUACUUUUAUAUGGUUAUAGUUUUGAAUUGUUGUACUUGUCUUAUAUUAUUUCUUGUUGGUUUCAUACAAAUUUAUGUUAAAAUUUUACUCCUUAAUUGACCAAUAAAAAAAUCUCUCCGUCAGUUUUAGAGGCCUUCUCAUUUUAAAAGACGAAAAUUUAGUUUAAGUUCAUAUUUGUUAGAAAUUGAAAUUGAUCGAUGAAGAAAUUACCGUCGAUUUCCAAGGUCUCCCAUGUUAAUAAGACGGACUUUUAUCUUUAAGUUAUUAUUUGAGUUAUUCAUUUUUAUUUAGUACUAACACUUUUACUAAGUGUUUUUACAGAUACACGGAGCUGCUUCCCAUUGAAGCUAUUUGAACCGAGUUCGAAUUAUAAUUUUUAUUUAUUAUUGUAUAUAUUAUUGUCGUUAAGCAAACUUAUGCCUUUUCUUAUUAUUAUUUUCUUUGUUUAUUAUAUUUUUAUAUUUGUUUUUUAUCUCCUCCUCAAUUUGAAAAAAUGAAUUUAGUCGGG
Molecule: long non-coding RNA, 1655 nt
Filed under: Solanum tuberosum (potato)
Lineage: Eukaryota; Viridiplantae; Streptophyta; Magnoliopsida; Solanales; Solanaceae
Description: long non-coding RNA (STUB_LNC000354)
Source: RNAcentral